CUACAAUUCUCUAGAGAUGAUGGUUUUCUAUGAUUCACAGGUAAAUCACAACACCAGGAGUUGAUCUGCAUGGAAAAGAUGGUGGUUUGUGUUAGGAAAGAGAUUGCAACCACAGAGAGAUGGAGAGAAUACAUUGAUACUGCAUUUCAAAUUGGCUAGAUCAAAAGGAACAGCAGCUAAAAUCCAUUACAACCCAAUUACAUCCAUCAGCUGAAGCUGUGUGCAUUCACUCGUGAACAUCAGCAUUUAAUCCAUAAAGAGGAACUAAUGAGAAAUUUGAAAAUGGAAUCCACGCAUCAAUGGAGGAUAUUAGUGAGAGGAUGGUUCUCUUGGCCUUUUUUCUUGGACUUGCAGUCAGCAUGGUGGCAGUGGUAAGCUAAGGGAGGGGAUUUUAAAUGGGCUAAUCAGCCAUGGG
Molecule: long non-coding RNA, 415 nt
Filed under: Monodelphis domestica (gray short-tailed opossum)
Lineage: Eukaryota; Metazoa; Chordata; Mammalia; Didelphimorphia; Didelphidae
Description: lncRNA (ENSMODG00000048342.1)
Source: RNAcentral